RNAcentral lists this ribosomal RNA (253 nucleotides) under uncultured bacterium. Its description in RNAcentral is "partial 16S ribosomal RNA". It matches the Rfam family "Bacterial small subunit ribosomal RNA", at positions 524 to 776 of the family's 1533-position model. The record is from RNAcentral.
UACGUAGGGGGCAAGCGUUGUCCGGAAUCAUUGGGCGUAAAGCGCGUGUAGGCGGCUCGAUCAGUCUGCUGUGAAAGUUCAGGGCUCAACCCUGAAAUGCCGGUGGAAACUGUCGAGCUAGAGUCCGGAAGAGGCGAGUGGAAUUCCUGGUGUAGCGGUGAAAUGCGCAGAUAUCAGGAGGAACACCAAUGGCGAAGGCAGCUCGCUGGGACGGUACUGACGCUGAGACGCGAAAGCGUGGGGAGCAAACAGG